This 296-nucleotide long non-coding RNA is filed under the name Pan troglodytes (chimpanzee). Its description in RNAcentral is "long non-coding RNA NONPTRT015216". Lineage: Eukaryota; Metazoa; Chordata; Mammalia; Primates; Hominidae. The record is from RNAcentral.
GCACGAUCUCGGCUCACUGCAAGCUCCACCUCCGGGGAUCAAGCCAUUCUCCUGCCUCAGCCUCCACGCCUGGCUAAUUUUUUGUAUUUUUAGUAGAGAUGGGGUUUCACCAUUUUAGCCAGUAUGGUCUCGAUCUCCUGCCUUUGUGAUCCGCCUGCAAAUAAGACUAAUAGGUAGCAUAGAAUACUAAUGUUCUCAAUGUAGUCUUACACAGAGAUGGGUACUACUCAGAGAAUUGAGAAGAGUGCUAAAUGAAAUAACCCAAAAAUAAUAUAAAGCCCUUGGGUUGUCUAUUU